Molecule: long non-coding RNA, 643 nt
Organism: Astatotilapia calliptera (eastern happy)
Lineage: Eukaryota; Metazoa; Chordata; Actinopteri; Cichliformes; Cichlidae
Source: Ensembl
CAAACAGCUGGUUAGACAUGCUGAUGUUAAAGAACUCCCACCGAUAAACCAACAAAUUGGUUUUGUGAAAGUAUGGAUCUGAUCUUUCCAGCUGUUGAUAUGCAAUCUUUAUUAAUGACACGUUGGCAGUAUCAGUAGCAAUAAUGAUAUCUGAACACUGUCCUGUAUCCUCCUAUGAUCUCCGUAUGUGUUUUUCCAUCUGAAACAUGAUCUUUUAUUUUUAAGUUUAUCAGCAGAGAACUGACUGAUAGUUUUGGGUAGAUGUGUUGCAGGACUGAAGACUCGGAGACACGACGGAGCUCAACAUUUCCCUCUUGUGCUUCGCUGUUGAACCGCUUAGGAAUACCGCCGAGGAGAGAUUAAAGCAAAUCCGAGGAAGGCUAGGACAUGAAAUGAUGCACUGGAGCCAGUAUCGUGCUUCAGUGGGGGACUUCAGUGUGCAAACUGGAGUAGUCAGGGAGUGGACCAGUGACGUUCUGACUGAUCCACUCUACCACAGUCCCCCACAAGGAGGCCGGCCACAAAUGGAGAGGAGGUCUGCAGUCUAACGGCAGUUCCUCGAGCCUUCAGAGUGCCUCUCCGGUUAAAGCAGGACAGCAGCUUUGAGCUGCACAACCACACCGCCUCCACCUUUAUAGCCUGG